CGCGAUUCGCCCUUCGGGGUGCAGCAGGCGCGAAAACUUUACAAUGCGGGAAACCGUGAUAAGGGAACUCCGAGUGCCCGUAAAAUCGGGCUGUCCAUCUGUUUAAAUAACAGGUGAAGAAAGGGCCGGGCAAGACCGGUGCCAGCCGCCGCGGUAAUACCGGCGGCUCGAGUGGUGGCCACUAUUACUGGGCUUAAAGCGUUCGUAGCUGGUCUGUUAAGUCUCUGGGGGAAUCUACUGGCUUAACCAAUAGGCGUUUCAGGGAUACUGGCAGACUAGGGACCGGGAGAGGUGAGGGGUACUCCAGGGGUAGGAGUGAAAUCCUGUAAUCCUUGGGGGACCACCUGUGGCGAAGGCGUCUCACCAGAACGGCUCCGACAGUGAGGGACGAAAGCUGGGGGAGCAAACCGGAUUAGAUACCCGGGUAGUCCCAGCCGUAAACGAUGCGCGUUAGGUGUAUCGGUGACCACGAGUCACCGAGGUGCCGAAGAGAAAUCGUGAAACGUGCCGCCUGGGAAGUACGGUCGCAAGGCUGAAACUUAAAGGAAUUGGCGGGGGAGCAC
Molecule: ribosomal RNA, 563 nt
Filed under: uncultured archaeon
Lineage: Archaea
Description: bacterial SSU rRNA
Rfam family: Archaeal small subunit ribosomal RNA
Source: RNAcentral